CGGGCGGGUUGCGGAACGAGGCGGCGUCGAUGCGGCCGGACCAGCCGCGCUCGGUAGUCACCCACGGCCGGGGGUCGUUCGGCUUGCCCGCCGCCUGG
RNAcentral lists this transfer RNA (98 nucleotides) under Corynebacterium jeddahense. RNAcentral describes it as "tRNA-Val". The record is from RNAcentral. Lineage: Bacteria; Bacillati; Actinomycetota; Actinomycetes; Mycobacteriales; Corynebacteriaceae.